UUUGGCUUGCCAUAAACACACACUUACACACACAUACAUGCAAUCAACUACACUUGACUAGUCAAAAAGGUCUAUGACAAAUACAAAUAAUCCAAAUUGCAUUUUGCAUGGGGUUAAUGCUCACAUUGAGGUUUAACGCGCAAUAUACUUUUGAAUAGAUAUUUCAGACAUCAAACCCGGAUACGCAGUUGAGCUCAUCAAGGCUGCAUCUGUUUUCCAGCAAGGAUUACCCUGCUAUAUCUUGUAGUCCUCGGAUGACCUUGAACUGGAAACAGAUGAAUGUCGAGAAUAAUUUGUGGAAAUGUGGCUGAUAGAUGGCGUUCGCUUGCUGGCCCACCGACUAUUCAGUGAAGGAAGGGAGAAGUCUCGUCAGAGACUCCGAUCUGGUGUGUCACACGUGGGUCGCCUCGUCUAAGUCCGCCAUGAAAAGAAAAAGAUAACCGCGUAUCCACCUAAAUCCAGCCCGUCAUCGUCUCAUCGUCGUCUUCGUUUCAUCGUCUCAUCGUCGUCUUCGUUUCAUCGUCUCAACGCCGCCUUCGUCUCUUUGUUUCAUUUUCCACCUCGUCUGGAAAAUGGCUUCUUUAAACCCAGCAAACAGUAUCUUGCCAGUUGCGUUUAUCUCACGCAAACCUUGGCAGUUGAAUAUAUAAACAGUGGACUUCCCUCUAAGACAGUACCGCAUUCCAGCGUUUACCAGCGAACGUAGCAGACAUGUCGCGCAGUCACUUUUUCUUGGUCGCUUUGUUCCUCGCUGUGCUAGUGGCGUAUUGCUCCGCCAUACCAGUUGAAGUCGAAGAGUCUGCAGUUUCCGCCGUAGUCUCAACAGAUCCAACAGUUGAAAAUGCAAGACCUAAACGACAGUUUCUUGCUGGACUCUUGAUAGGAAAAGCUCUUGGAGCUGGAUACGGUUAUGGAUUAGGUCGUUCAGCUUACUAUGGCGGAUAUGGAUACUCCUAUCGUGGCUAGCGGCUACCCUGGUCCUUACGGCGAUUACGGAUACGGAGGCUACCAUUACUGGUAUGUAUUUCAACAUUUGCUUUUCGAAAUAAACGAGCUGAUUUACAGGAUCGAAUAAUUCCGAGCCAGUGCCAUUUUACAACGUUACUGCAUUCAACAUUUCCCACAGAGCGACUGGAAUGAACGGACAGAAUAAAUUUGUUAUCAGCACCUCCAUAUAAGGAAAAUUUAACAUUUCUCCAAGACUUGCUAUUGUAAAACGUGCGUGAAUAGACCUGAUGCAUGACGUCUGAAAAAACUAGGAUCCGCUCUUGGAGACCGUUUGUCACUUUUUUCACGGCCAUCCUGCGGUCAUCACUUCCACAUACGUAGGCGCCAUGUGUGAUACGACGUCCCAGGACCAAUGAGCUCCAUGAGCGUCACAACAACACCACAUCAAGUAAAAAACAUACAUUCUUAUAAAAUAUCGAGAGCAGUGCAUUUCUGUCAGCCGCGUUCUAGUGCCGGAUGAAAAAAACUGCAUUUACCUGCGGCUCCGAAAAACCUUUGAUACACCAGCACACGAAAUAAUAAAAAAAAAUAUGGAUUUUCUUUCAAGUUGAUUUGAAAGACUAAAUUGAACAAAAGAAAAAAUGUCAGUGGCAUGUCAAUGACUUUCGUGACAAGUUCGACCUGUUCCCUUUUAGGCAUUGCAGCUGGUAAAAUGGCAUCAGAGGUGAUGCUUUCGCGUCUUAUUCCUUGUUGGGUUUCGACCCUCCUUCCAGCAGAACGAUAUGAGUCGCCUGGUAUUCGUACUCAGGUAAAUUCUAUUAGUUUGGUGAAAUUGUAAAUCUUGCGUGGUUCUCUUGGUGAUGGUGGCCGUGAUCUUUGCUAAUGAUCUAAGGGAGGACACUCGCCUAAAGAGACAAUUUGGCGGCGCGCAUGGAUUGUUAAACGGGUUUUUGUAUGGAUACGGUUAUCCUGGAUACGAAUAUGGACGCUAUUCGUAUUACGGCUAUCAGUAACCUUACGUUAGACAUAGACCAGCUUAUGGGUAGGCGAUCUUUGAACGACAUUUUUAGUGUAAAUAUUGACAGGAAUCCAAACGAUUUUUGUUUUUUAACGCGCACAUAGACCAUACGAUUAUUAUGGUCAUCGUUGGAAUGAAUACAGAUUGUGAAAUUCUUAAAAGAAAAUUACUGCACACACGACGAGGAACUAUUUUUAUGAAAAAGAGGUAAAAGUGGAUUAAUUAUGCUUAGCUUGUUUUGGUGAUGGUUCAGAUUUAAAUGUUGAGCAUGGAUGUUGAUUAAUACUGUAAUAGAAUAAAUGAAAUUUUGAAGUA
Daphnia magna is the source of this 2281-nucleotide long non-coding RNA. RefSeq lists it as uncharacterized. NCBI's taxonomy places the organism in Eukaryota, Metazoa, Arthropoda, Branchiopoda, Diplostraca, Daphniidae. The transcript is spliced from 5 exons. The record is from RefSeq and is a predicted model, not a curated record.